RNAcentral lists this ribosomal RNA (407 nucleotides) under uncultured bacterium. RNAcentral describes it as "bacterial SSU rRNA". It matches the Rfam family "Bacterial small subunit ribosomal RNA", at positions 94 to 518 of the family's 1533-position model. The record is from RNAcentral.
AGCGGCGACGGGUGAGUAACACGUGGGUAACCUGCCUCAUAGAGGGGAAUAGCCUUUCGAAAGGAAGAUUAAUACCGCAUAAGAUUGUAGUACCGCAUGGUACAGCAAUUAAAGGAGUAAUCCGCUAUGAGAUGGACCCGCGUCGCAUUAGCUAGUUGGUGAGGUAACGGCUCACCAAGGCGACGAUGCGUAGCCGACCUGAGAGGGUGAUCGGCCACAUUGGGACUGAGACACGGCCCAGACUCCUACGGGAGGCAGCAGUGGGGAAUAUUGCACAAUGGGGGAAACCCUGAUGCAGCAACGCCGCGUGAGUGAUGACGGUCUUCGGAUUGUAAAACUCUGUCUUUAGGGACGAUAAUGACGGUACCUAAGGAGGAAGCCACGGCUAACUACGUGCCAGCCGCCGC